GUACCGUGAGGGAAAGGUGAAAAGCACCCCGAUUAGGGGAGUGAAACAGUACCUGAAACCGGAUGCUUACAAGCAGUUGGAGCCCCAUAGGGGGUGACAGCGUACCUCUUGCAUAAUGGGUCAGUGACUUAAUUUAUCGAGCAAGCUUAAGCCGUUAGGUGUAGGCGUAGCGAAAGCGAGUCUGAAUAGGGCGACUGAGUUCGAUGAAUUAGACCCGAACCCCGGCGAUCUAGGCAUGGCCAGGUUGAAGGUGCGGUAACACGCACUGGAGGACCGAACCGGUGAAUGUUGAAAAAUUCUCGGAUGAGCUGUGUUUAGGGGUGAAAGGCCAAUCAAGCCGGGAAAUAGCUGGUUCUCCGCGAAAUCUAUUGAGGUAGAGCGUCGGAUGUAUGCCGAUGGGGGUAGAGCACUGGAUGGGCUAGGGCUGCGCGAGCGGUACCAAACCUAACCAAACUCCGAAUACCAUCGAGUCUUAUCCGGCAGACAGACGGCGGGUGCUAAGGUCCGUCGUCAAAAGGGAAACAGCCCUAACCUACAGCUAAGGUCCCCAAGUCAUAUCUAAGUGGGAAAGCAUGUGGGAAUCCCAAAACAACCAGGAGGUUGGCUUAGAAGCAGCCAUCCUUUAAAGAAA
RNAcentral lists this ribosomal RNA (631 nucleotides) under Ditylum brightwellii. RNAcentral describes it as "partial Bacterial large subunit ribosomal RNA". It matches the Rfam family "Bacterial large subunit ribosomal RNA", at positions 498 to 1131 of the family's 2925-position model. The record is from RNAcentral. Lineage: Eukaryota; Bacillariophyta; Thalassiosirophyceae; Lithodesmiales; Lithodesmiaceae.